Molecule: non-coding RNA, 26 nt
Filed under: Mus musculus (house mouse)
Lineage: Eukaryota; Metazoa; Chordata; Mammalia; Rodentia; Muridae
Source: RNAcentral
UAGAAAAAGAUUUUUGAAAGGGGCUC